RNA transcript from Cyanistes caeruleus (blue tit), 425 nucleotides. RefSeq lists it as uncharacterized. The record is from RefSeq and is a predicted model, not a curated record. NCBI's taxonomy places the organism in Eukaryota, Metazoa, Chordata, Aves, Passeriformes, Paridae.
UUUCCCAGUAUCACGCUGAUUGUCACUUACAGUAAAGCUCUCUGACACAUGAGAAGUGCCUGAAACGUGCAUGUUUCCUCUCCUGUCACUCUGGGGCACUGAGGCAUUGUCCUGUGAACCUUCUCAGGUCUGUCACUGAGGAAACAGAGAACUCAUUCAAUCUUUGGCUAUAAACUGCUGAGCUACCUCCACUUCAAGUUCUGUUCCUCGCUUCAGCAAUGCACAGAAAAUAGUCUCCAGUUUCCUUGAGGAAUUGAGACUGGCAGGUCCCAGCUCCCAGUACCCUUUUACCCAGUGCACAAGUGAUUUCCUCAAAAUGAGUUUCUCUGUGGCUUUUGGGCAUUAAUGUGCCAAUUUUCUUCCUGCUACUGAAUAUUAUCUGAUCCUGAAGCUGGCUGCAGUUGAAUUAAUGUUGCUGUCAAUCA